Melitaea cinxia (Glanville fritillary) is the source of this 219-nucleotide long non-coding RNA. RefSeq lists it as uncharacterized. NCBI's taxonomy places the organism in Eukaryota, Metazoa, Arthropoda, Insecta, Lepidoptera, Nymphalidae. The record is from RefSeq and is a predicted model, not a curated record. The transcript is spliced from 2 exons.
AUUGUCUUGACACUAAAUUAAUUAGUACAUCAGUACAUUUACUUUUUAUAUUGUUAACAGAAAUAAAAAUUCAAUCUUUAAGAUCGAGUCAAAUAUAAACAUUUACUUUAACAUCGAUUAAAUAAAAUCGGUUUAACGACAACCCUUUUUUGAGGAGUCUUUAGUGGAAUUUACAUUUGGAGACCUCUAUUUGAUGAGCUUUUUCCCAGGAAGCAAAAC